RNAcentral lists this ribosomal RNA (497 nucleotides) under uncultured bacterium. RNAcentral describes it as "partial 16S ribosomal RNA". It matches the Rfam family "Bacterial small subunit ribosomal RNA", at positions 30 to 523 of the family's 1533-position model. The record is from RNAcentral.
AUUGAACGCUGGCGGCAUGCCUUACACAUGCAAGUCGAACGGCAGCACGGGGCAACCUGGUGGCGAGUGGCGAACGGGUGAGUAAUGCAUCGGAACGUACCUUUCAGUGGGGGAUAACGUAGCGAAAGUUACGCUAAUACCGCAUAUUCUGUGAGCAGGAAAGCAGGGGAUCGCAAGACCUUGCGCUGAUUGAGCGGCCGAUGUCAGAUUAGCUAGUUGGUGAGGUAAAGGCUCACCAAGGCGACGAUCUGUAGCGGGUCUGAGAGGAUGAUCCGCAACACGGGAAGUGAGAACCGGUCCGGACUCCUCCGGGGGGCAGAAGUGGGAAAUUUUGAACAAGGGGGCAACCCUGAUCCAGCCAUGCCGCGUGAGUGAAGAAGGCCUUCGGGUUGUAAAGCUCUUUCGGCCGGGAAGAAAUCGCACGGGCUAAUACCCUGUGUGGAUGACGGUACCGGAAUAAGAAGCACCGGCUAACUACGUGCCAGCAGCCGCCGUAA